GGGGCCGACUUUGGAUUUGACGGCAAGAGAAAUGGUUAUGUAAGCAUACCGAGUGUUGAGAGUGUGACUCGUAAAUCCCUAUUCUCAUCUCUAUAAACGGAGAAAACAACUACGCACUUGCUGCCUAAUUACUAGAUGUAAUUACGCUUAAUCGAGGCUAUAAGAUAGCCCGACAAGUUGCCCAGCUUCUGACUACUCGUUCAGCGGUCUUUAGCAAUGGGUAUCGUUGGUCUGAACUAGUUGAGGUCUUGCUUCGGGGCUGAUACGAAAUUUAAGAAGCUAAGUCAUAGUUAGGCUGUUUGUGGUCAGGCUAUGAUCGAAAACCAAUUGCAAACUAAGUAUGUAGAAAGCUUAAUCGUUCCUUGUUUGGACGAGGGUUCGAACCCCUCCGGCUCCACC
RNAcentral lists this transfer-messenger RNA (399 nucleotides) under Parvicella tangerina. Its description in RNAcentral is "Cryomorphaceae bacterium CECT 30217 transfer-messenger RNA, SsrA". It matches the Rfam family "transfer-messenger RNA". From Rfam's summary of the family: Bacterial tmRNA, also known as 10Sa RNA or SsrA, is named for its dual tRNA and mRNA-like properties. Its role is to liberate the mRNA from a stalled ribosome. Lineage: Bacteria; Pseudomonadati; Bacteroidota; Flavobacteriia; Flavobacteriales; Parvicellaceae. The record is from RNAcentral.